RNAcentral lists this ribosomal RNA (762 nucleotides) under uncultured bacterium MK22. RNAcentral's name for it is "bacterial SSU rRNA". It matches the Rfam family "Bacterial small subunit ribosomal RNA", at positions 8 to 777 of the family's 1533-position model. Lineage: Bacteria; Pseudomonadati; Bacteroidota. The record is from RNAcentral.
AGAGUUUGAUUAUGGCUCAGGAUGAACGCUAGCGGCAGGCCUAAUACAUGCAAGUCGAACGGAAUAUAGUUUUCGGAUUAUAUUUAGUGGCGCACGGGUGAGUAACACGUACAUAACUUACCCUCAAGAGGGGGAUAGCCUUGGGAAACUGAGCGUAAUACCCCAUAGUAUUAUUGAACGGCAUCGUUUGAUAAUUAAAGCUACGGCGCUUGAGGAUAGAUGUGCGUCUGAUUAGCUAGUUGGUAAGGUAACGGCUUACCAAGGCGACGAUCAGUAGGGGGCGUGAGAGCGUGGCCCCCCACACGGGUACUGAGACACGGACCCGACUCCUACGGGAGGCAGCAGUAAGGAAUAUUGGUCAAUGCCCGGAAGGGUGAACCAGCCAUGCCGCGUGAAGGAUGACUGCCCUCUGGGUUGUAAACUUCUUUUGGAUGGGACGAAAAAACGGGAUUUAUCCUGGACUGACGGUACCAUCAGAAUAAGCACCGGCUAACUCCGUGCCAGCAGCCGCGGUAAUACGGAGGGUGCAAGCGUUAUCCGGAAUCACUGGGUUUAAAGGGUGCGUAGGCGGUUUUAUAAGUCAGGGGUGAAAGCAUGCAGCUUAACUGUAUAAUUGCCUUUGAUACUGUAAGACUUGAAUAAGGUUGAGGUUGGCGGAAUGUGACAUGUAGCGGUGAAUGCUUAGAUAUGUCAUGACCCGUUGCGAGCGCUGACUGGGCCUUUAUUGACGCUGAGGCACGAAAGCGUGGGGAGCGAAGUGUC